This 433-nucleotide ribosomal RNA is filed under the name uncultured bacterium. RNAcentral's name for it is "partial 16S ribosomal RNA". It matches the Rfam family "Bacterial small subunit ribosomal RNA", at positions 29 to 507 of the family's 1533-position model. The record is from RNAcentral.
AACGAACGCUGGCGGCAUGCCUAACACAUGCAAGUCGAACGAGACCUUCGGGUCUAGUGGCGCACGGGUGCGUAACGCGUGGGAACCUGCCCUUAGGUUCGGAAUAACUCCCCGAAAGGGGUGCUAAUACCGGAUAAUGUCUUCGGACCAAAGAUUUAUCGCCUUUGGAUGGGCCCGCGUUGGAUUAGCUAGUUGGUAGGGUAAAAGCCUACCAAGGCGACGAUCCAUAGCUGGUCUGAGAGGAUGAUCAGCCACACUGGGACUGAGACACGGCCCAGACUCCGACGGGAGGCAGCAGUGGGGAAUAUUGGACAAUGGGCGAAAGCCUGAUCCAGCAAUGCCGCGUGAGUGAUGAAGGCCUUAGGGUUGUAAAGCUCUUUUACCCGGGAUGAUAAUGACAGUACCGGGAGAAUAAGCACCGGCUAACUCCGUG